RNAcentral lists this ribosomal RNA (420 nucleotides) under uncultured bacterium. RNAcentral's name for it is "bacterial SSU rRNA". It matches the Rfam family "Bacterial small subunit ribosomal RNA", at positions 458 to 879 of the family's 1533-position model. The record is from RNAcentral.
CCACGACGAUAAUGACGGUAGUGGGAGAAGAAGCCCCGGCUAACUUCGUGCCAGCAGCCGCGGUAAUACGAAGGGGGCUAGCGUUGUUCGGAUUUACUGGGCGUAAGCGCACGUAGGCGGAUCUUUAAGUCAGGGGUGAAAUGCCAAGGCUCAACCUUGGAACUGCCUCUGAUACUGGAGAUCUUGAGUUCGGGAGAGGUGAGUGGAACUGCGAGUGUAGAGGUGAAAUUCGUAGAUAUUCGCAAGAACACCAGUGGCGAAGGCGGCUCACUGGCCCGAUACUGACGCUGAGGUGCGAAAGCGUGGGGGAGCAACAGGAUUAGAUACCCUGGUAGUCCACGCCGUAAACGAUGGAUGCUAGCCGUUAGGCAGCUUGCUGCUUAGUGGCGCAGCUAACGCUUUAAGCAUCCCGCCUGGGGA